This 257-nucleotide ribosomal RNA is filed under the name uncultured bacterium. RNAcentral's name for it is "partial 16S ribosomal RNA". It matches the Rfam family "Bacterial small subunit ribosomal RNA", at positions 521 to 776 of the family's 1533-position model. The record is from RNAcentral.
UAAUACGAAGGGAGCUAGCGUUGUUCGGAAUUACUGGGCGUAAAGAGCGCGUAGGCGGUUUAACAAGUCAGGCGUGAAAGCCCUGGGCUCAACCCGGGAAUUGCGCUUGAGACUGUUUUUCUAAGAGUACGAGAGAGGUAAGUGGAAUUCCCAGUGUAGCAGUGAAAUGCGUAGAUAUUGGGAGGAACACCAGUGGCGAAGGCGGCUUACUGGCUCGUGACUGACGCUAAGGCGCGAAAGCGUGGGGAGCAAACAGG